UGGGGAAUUUUGGACAAUGGGGGAAACCCUGAUCCAGCCAUCCCGCGUGUGCGAUGAAGGCCUUCGGGUUGUAAAGCACUUUUGGCAGGAAAGAAACGUCAUGGGUUAAUACCCCGUGAAACUGACGGUACCUGCAGAAUAAGCACCGGCUAACUACGUGCCAGCAGCCGCGGUAAUACGUAGGGUGCAAGCGUUAAUCGGAAUUACUGGGUGUAAAGCGUGCGCAGGCGGUUCGGAAAGAAAGAUGUGAAAUCCCAGAGCUCAACUUUGGAACUGCAUUUUUAACUACCGGGCUAGAGUGUGUCAGAGGGAGGUGGAAUUCCGCGUGUAGCAGUGAAAUGCGUAGAUAUGCGGAGGAACACCGAUGGAGAAGGCAGCCUCCUGGGAUAACACGGACGCUCAUGCACGAAAGCGUGGGGAGCAAACAGG
This 429-nucleotide ribosomal RNA is filed under the name Acidobacteriota bacterium. RNAcentral's name for it is "Acidobacteria bacterium partial 16S ribosomal RNA". It matches the Rfam family "Bacterial small subunit ribosomal RNA", at positions 355 to 776 of the family's 1533-position model. Lineage: Bacteria; Pseudomonadati; Acidobacteriota. The record is from RNAcentral.